UUUUGGCGUGGAGGGGAGAUUUGUUCUUUUGUUUUCUGUAGUAAAUCUUGCUGCUGCUGGAUCUUUGGGUCUGUGCUGCGUUUGUGAGUUGUAACACGGUUUAGAGGUCUACAGAUUCACUCUUGAAGCUAGCGAGACUAUAAAUCUAUUGGGAGAGACAAAGAACUCUGGAUGUGCUGCCUUUAGGAGCUGUGAUGCUUACCGCGGAAGUUUGCAGCUUCACUCCUGAAAUCAGUGAGACCACGAACCGCACCAGAAGGAGCAAACUCCACACUAUUUUUAAGAACCGUAACAUUCACCGCGAGGGUCCACGGUUUCAUUCUUGAAGUCAGCGAGACUAUAGAACCCACCAAGUUCUGGACACAAAACCACCCCAAAAUACUUUCUCAUCUAUUCCGUUGGUCUGCCUAUCUAAAAAGCAAAAUUUCAAAUACUGACACCAAUAGAUGAAGACACUUUAGCUUCUUCCCUGUUUCAUCCAGUUGGGGGCUAAGUGUCCUUCGGUUUGGACUGUGCAGCUUGGGUCACCUUCUCUCUGUAGAAGAGCAACUGAAGAGGCAGAGCCGUGUGUUCCAAACCACUCAAACAAUUGAGAAAGUGGGAACCCAUUAUUCCCCAAGCCCAGCCAGCAAACCUCACCGAUGUAACAGAUAAGCACUUCCUGCAGGUGGGGCUGACACUGGCCAGGACACAGCCCUCUCUCUCACAGCAGUGUUCCAGGUUGUUCGUGCACAAAAUUUCACAAAGGUCAGAGCUCGUCUCUCCAAACAGAUGAGCUUUGCGGUUAACCUGAAUUCACUGAACUGGGAUUUAUUAUUACUAUUAUUCUAUUUUACCUCUAACAGAAGUUUAAGGUCCGUGUAAGUCUCGUUCCUUUCUCUGACUGUAGGGGAGACGCCCGGUGCGCCGUUUGGAGGGGAGAACCUGGCCUCCUUUCCUUAUCAUCUUUUCAGGUACCCAACUCCUAGCAAAUGUGUCUUCCUCCCGGGUUCUUUGGGGUAAAGAAUUUGGUGAGAAGGAGCUGAAUGUUACAGCUGCACUUCUCAGACACCUGCUCAGAGCCAAGCGUCCUCUCACCCUUUCUUUCAACUGGUAGCCAGAAAAUACGGGCUGAGCAUCAGGGAUUCUCAACUUUGUCAGCUCCAGCCCUGCCUGUUGUGACAGACAUUUCCUGAUGCCUCUUGCUCUCUAGAAUGAAGGUCGUGGGCAAUAUUACCCACACAGCCCCAUUCAAAAUCAAUCGGCUUUGUGACCUUUUGUGAAAGGAUGGUGAUUGCCGUGCCAGCAUGUGACAUGGACUUGGAUGCCUGUGCACACAGGUGCACCUUCCAGAAGGUGAGGUCGGCCCGAGUGCCCACCGCCAUGUGAGUGCACUGAUGCACAAUGACCAGUUGCUGGAAUGUUCUGAACAGAGCCCAGUGCCACCCACUUUGAUGUGUGCUAUUGUCA
Molecule: long non-coding RNA, 1449 nt
Filed under: Pongo abelii (Sumatran orangutan)
Lineage: Eukaryota; Metazoa; Chordata; Mammalia; Primates; Hominidae
Description: lincRNA
Source: RNAcentral